RNAcentral lists this ribosomal RNA (253 nucleotides) under uncultured bacterium. RNAcentral's name for it is "partial 16S ribosomal RNA". It matches the Rfam family "Bacterial small subunit ribosomal RNA", at positions 524 to 776 of the family's 1533-position model. The record is from RNAcentral.
GACAGAGGGUGCAAACGUUGUUCGGAAUUACUGGGCGUAAAGCGCGUGUAGGCGGUCUCAUAAGUCGGGUGUGAAAGCCCCGGGCUCAACCCGGGAAGUGCACUCGAAACUGCGAGGCUAGAGUAUCGGAGAGGUUGGUGGAAUUCUCGGUGUAGAGGUGAAAUUCGUAGAUAUCGAGAGGAACACCGGCGGCGAAGGCGGCCAACUGGACGAAUACUGACGCUGAGACUCGAAAGCGUGGGGAGCAAACAGG